GGUACUCCUGAGUCUGAUUUUGUAUCCAGAACGUUUUGGAUGCCAUAUGACAGGAAAACAAUGCGAACUGAGAACAGCGUGGUAUCUUCCCUAACGUUCACUUAUGGGGAACAACAUGUGCCAUGUACAAUUUGAGGAUGCUAUUGGAUGCAGCAAGAUCAGAAGAAAAAGUCAACUGUUCACAGAGCUUUAUUAUCACAGAAGGUAGUACAGACAUCCCCUGGAGAUGAGGCAGAGAGCUCUGGAAGGCAUCCUUGGAAACGUCAGCCGAAAAAAACAGACUGGAUUUUGAGAGUAAGAGUGAAGAAAGAGCACUUUGAGUGAUCAGCUCCUCUCCAGUGCUACGGAGAUUCCCUGGCUGCUUGAGAGUUCUGGGUUUGUGAAAUCAGGGUGUUUAACCAAAAGCCAAAGGCUGACUAGUGUCUUCAGGUGUCCUAAUACUGCAGUGCCUAAAAAUGCUGUAGAGGGAAUAAGAGAGAUUAGGUAUAGUGUAUGGGAAUUAAACAGCUUUGACGUGUCUUUAGGCACCUGACUGUGGGA
Molecule: long non-coding RNA, 540 nt
Organism: Calidris pugnax (ruff)
Lineage: Eukaryota; Metazoa; Chordata; Aves; Charadriiformes; Scolopacidae
Exons: 3
Source: RefSeq, a predicted model, not a curated record